GCCUGUGUAUCUCAGUCAGUAGAGCAUCAGACUUUUAAUCUGAGGGUCCAUGGUUCAAGUCUAUCCAGGUGCU
This 73-nucleotide transfer RNA is filed under the name Sus scrofa (pig). It matches the Rfam family "tRNA". Rfam says of the family: Transfer RNA (tRNA) molecules are approximately 80 nucleotides in length. Their secondary structure includes four short double-helical elements and three loops (D, anti-codon, and T loops). The record is from Rfam by way of RNAcentral. Lineage: Eukaryota; Metazoa; Chordata; Mammalia; Artiodactyla; Suidae.